This is a long non-coding RNA of Leopardus geoffroyi (Geoffroy's cat), 592 nucleotides long. RefSeq lists it as uncharacterized. The transcript is spliced from 2 exons. The record is from RefSeq and is a predicted model, not a curated record. NCBI's taxonomy places the organism in Eukaryota, Metazoa, Chordata, Mammalia, Carnivora, Felidae.
GGCAUCUGCAGGGAACGCGGACGGUGCACGGGCGGCUCGACAGACUCUGUUCCCAAGAAACCUCGUCCUGGGCCCCCCUGCAGGAGCUUUUCCGAGAAAGGAGACAUGGGCCCCAACAUGGUGUAGCCUGCCCAGGCGGGAAGGGCUGAGAGGGAAGCAUGAGAAGGCGCGAAUGCGCUGGCUCCAGCCUCCCGCAACCUGAUCCGGUGUUUUCUGCUCGGCUACUGCUGACGCUUCAGGAUGCCCGGAUCCUAUUGGACGCCGGAUGCAGGUGCAGCCCUGCAGGCGGACGGUCUCAGCCCUCCUCCAAUUUUAUUGACCAGUGAGAGCUUCAAGGAGAAGAACAUGAUUUACGUUGAGUUUUUAAAAAUAUUUGGUUGGUCUUGGGUCCCAUGACCCUACACAGGCGCUUCUGUAAAUCCAAGUUCUGCAGGUUGGAGACUCCUGCGGUAAAACGGGACCGUUUCGCAUCUUUCCGUGAGUGAAUGGCCACUAAAAGUACAGCAAAAAAGAUGAUAACUUGACAUAUUUAGGGAAUUUUUAUUUGGAAAACAUUGGGAGUACUUUUAAUAAAUGGUGUUUUGAGAACGGC